Molecule: ribosomal RNA, 508 nt
Filed under: uncultured bacterium
Lineage: Bacteria
Description: partial 16S ribosomal RNA
Rfam family: Bacterial small subunit ribosomal RNA
Source: RNAcentral
GACGAACGCUAGCGGCGUGCUUAACACAUGCAAGUCGAACGGGCCUUGUCCCCUUUUUUUUUGGGGGUGGGGUUAGUGGCGAACGGGUGAGUAACACGUGAGUAACCUGCCCCUCACUUCUGGAUAACCGCUUGAAAGGGUGGCUAAUACGGGGUGUUCUGGCCUGCUCGCAUGGGUGGGUUUGGAAAGAUUCGACCGGUUUUGGUUGUUUUGGUGGGGGAUGGGCUCGCGGCCUAUCAGCGUGUUGGUGGGGGGAUGGCCUGCCAAGGCUUUGACGGGUAGCCGGCCUGAGAGGGUGGGCGGUCACACUGGGACUGAGACACGGCCCAGACUCCUACGGGAGGCAGCAGUGGGGAAUAUUGCACAAUGGGCGCAAGCCUGAUGCAGCGACGCCGCGUGAGGGAUGGAGGCCUUCGGGUUGUGAACCUCUUUCGCCAGUGAAGAAGGUCCUGCUCUUUGUGGUGGGGUUGACGGUAGCUGGGUUAAUGAAGCGCCGGCUAACUACGUG